AGUGAACGCUGGCGGUAGGCCUAACACAUGCAAGUCGAACGGCAGCACAGUAAGAGCUUGCUCUUACGGGUGGCGAGUGGCGGACGGGUGAGGAAUACAUCGGAAUCUACUUUUUCGUGGGGGAUACCGUAGGGAAACUUACGCUAAUACCGCAUACGACCUCCGGGUGAAAGCAGGGGAUCUUCGGACCUUGCGCGAUUGAAUGAGCCGAUGUCGGAUUAGCUAGUUGGCGGGGUAAAGGCCCACCAAGGCGACGAUCCGUAGCUGGUCUGAGAGGAUGAUCAGCCACACUGGAACUGAGACACGGUCCAGACCCCUACGGGAGGCAGCAGUGGGGAAUAUUGGACAAUGGGCGCAAGCCUGAUCCAGCCAUACCGCGUGGGUGAAGAAGGCCUUCGGGUUGUAAAGCCCUUUUGUUGGGAAAGAAAAGCAGCAGGUUAAUACCCCGCUGUUCUGACGGUACCCAAAGAAUAAGCACCGGCUAACUUCGUG
RNAcentral lists this ribosomal RNA (492 nucleotides) under uncultured bacterium. RNAcentral describes it as "partial 16S ribosomal RNA". It matches the Rfam family "Bacterial small subunit ribosomal RNA", at positions 29 to 507 of the family's 1533-position model. The record is from RNAcentral.